GAAGGAUGCCUGGCCCACAAAUAUGCAUUCAGUGCACAUUUCUUGCUACAGUUCUGCUAAUCCUAUAAAACAUAUGCACUAUGAUGGAUGUGUCUGGGUGCCAGGAGGACACAAAGGAGCACUAACUCAUCCAGACCAGAAGCUUCCCAGAGGAGGUGAUUCCCAAGGUGAAAUCCGAAAGAUAAAGGGAGUGAGUUAUCCAGGAGAAGAGAAAGGAAAAGCAUAUUCCAGACAUCAGGAUAGGACAGUGGAGGCAAAACAGCAUAUGCUAUAUAUAUAUGGAAUUCACAACACUCUGGUAUGACUGAUUAGUAAAAAGUAGGAAGGCAGACCAAGAGAAAUAAGGAGACAUGGUAAGGUGAGUGGGCAAUAAUGCAUGAUCUGAAAAAUAAUAAUGCAUGGACUUAGUGUGGUUCACAUAUCAGGAGCUUCUCCAAUAGCCAGGCUAUGAGGCACUAAAAUGAGGAAAUAUGGUUUCCAAACUUCGCAAAUACUUAUAGUCCAGCCACAGGGGAUAUACUGAUAAACUCAGCUCAAAUGUCACCUCCUCAGAGAUGCUUUCUCAACCACCCUUAGUUCCAUGAGGACUGCAUCAUUGUUUAGGCCACUCCUGUAUCCCCAGAGCACAGAACAUUGUCUGGCUCAUAGUAGGUGCUCAAAAGUUUUGUUGAAUGAAUGAACAAAUAAACGUGUAAGGAAGUCAGGCACAGCACUUGCCCACAGGAAGCUUAUAAGAUGAGCGGCAUGCCAUUGGGAGUUUGAAUGAUAUAUGGAGAUCCAAACAGGGCAUCAGAGGACUGCUCAGAGGAGUCAGGGAAUUAAGAAAAAAUUGGGAGCCAGUGAGCCAAGAUGUGUUAAAAGCAAGUGAUCAAGCUUAGAUUGCAGUGUUAGUUAAUAGAGCAUAUGUGUCCCUGCCUGAUGCAUUACCUUCCCUGCAGUAGUUAGCCUUCUGGGACCCUGAAAAGCAUGCAGAAAGGUUGACAGCUUACAAUCAAUACCAUGUUCACUGAUGCAGGAAGCAACAUUAUCACAUCCAAGAUAUUGCCCCCACACCCAGGCUGCAGCACUAAAUAUUCCCCAUAACAAGGCAAAGGGAAGUGACAAGAGCUAUUAUUCUCAACCCUCCCACUUGGAAACAAGAGGUGAGACAAACCUUCCCCUAGAUGUUCUUAGGGAAAGGCAAGACCCCCAAAGAAAUCUUUCAGAGCUGAGCACAUGCCUAAUACAGCAAGACAGGGAUGGGAGAAGAUUGGCAUUUUCAUUUGCCUGGGUGUCCACAAUAUUGCAGGGGAAGCUCUGUGGGCAGCUGGGAAAUACAACAAUAAAUUGGAGGGGGAUGAACAAUAGGGUCAGUGGGGCUGUGUGCUGAGUGAAUGCUGGAUUUUAUUCUACAUGCCCAAUUCACUCCAAUAAGAUAAACUUGACUUCCUCCAGUGUGGCUUUCUUAUUUCAGCUUCUCUGACUGUGGCAUAAUUGAAAGUCAUAUUUCAUCUAGACCAUUGGUUUUCAACUCCAAAUGCAGGUGGCUUAUGAAGACUCAGCCUGAAUAUAUAAAGAGAACAGCAAACAAUCAUAGUUGCAUAUUAAAGACAAUCUAUUUCUCCGUAAAGGAAAGUAAAGUGAGUCAUAUUACAUACAAGCCACAAUACAGAACUGAUCUGAAAUACACUGCGGAAUGGCCUUUCAGUCUAUGCUGGACUCUAACAGGAAAAAGGCAGAAGGUGGUCAAUGGUGCAUUUAUUUAAACCCCUCAUUUCCUCCCUGACGAGAAGAAGGACAACAGUUCUUAUUUUUCAUAUUAUUUUUGAAAAGGCAGAAAGGUUAAUUAUAUAUUGACAUGAUUUGGAUCUGUGUCCUCACCAUAAUCUCAUGUCAAAUUGUAAUCCCCAGUGUUUGAGGUGGGGCCAGGUGGGAGGUGAUUGGAUCGUGGAGGUGGAUUUCUCAUGCAUGGUUUAGCACCAUCUUCUUGGUGCUAUUCUCGUGAUAGUGAGUAAGUUCUCACGAGAUCUGGUUGUUUAAAGGUGUGAAGAACCUCCCCUCUGUCUCUCUUGCUCCUGUUCCUGCCAUGUAAGAUAUGCUGGCUCCCCCUUUGCCUUCUGCCAUGAUUGUAAGUAUCCAGAGGCCUCUCCAGAAGCUGAGCAGAUGUCAGCACCAUGCUUCCUGUACAGCCUGUGGAACCAUGAGCCAAUUAAACCUCAUUCCUUUAC
RNAcentral lists this long non-coding RNA (2207 nucleotides) under Homo sapiens (human). RNAcentral describes it as "non-protein coding lnc-PPP2R2B-3:1". The record is from RNAcentral. Lineage: Eukaryota; Metazoa; Chordata; Mammalia; Primates; Hominidae.